ACCAUCCGUCACGUGACCCACGUGAAAAACUCCCCCAACGGUCCGUUAGAAAAAAACUUCACAUCCGUUGCUGCCGUCCACCGUGAAACAAAAACCAGCGUGUCCAAGCAGAGAGGGAAAAUGAUUGGAGAGAAGGGGAAGCUACUGUAUAAUGUGUACAGAGCCCUAACCUACGGUCUCUCUCCAUUUCUCUACCUUCAUCUACGUUUCCGCACUCUCCAGGGCAUCGAACACCCUGUCCGGUGGCCGGAGCGUCUUGGCCGUCCUUCUACCCCACGCCCUCCCGGCCAUCUCAUAUGGUUCCACACCGCCUCUUUAGGUGAAGGAAUGGCUGCAAUCCCAGUAAUCAAACGCUGUAUUGAGGAAAGACCCGAUUGUACCAUUUUGAUGACUUCAACUACUGCGUCUGCAUUUGAAAUAAUAACGAAUCAGCUCCCUACUGGUGUCAUAUAUCAGUUUGCCCCACUUGAUAUUCCUGCUGCUAUGGAUGCUUUCCUUGGCUAUUGGAAGCCCAAUGCUGUCAUGCUAAUGGAGUGUGAACUGUGGCCAAAUCUUAUUUUAGGAGCUGCAAGAAAUGGUAUUGCACUGGCAUUAUUAAAUGCUCGGAUGUCUGCAAAAUCCUUUUCACGUUGGUCUCGACCUGUGCUUCUUCCGUUGAUUUCCUUAAUGCUGUCAAAGUUUUCCUUGAUUGUCCCAUUGAGCACCAUGCAGGGAAUCCGCUUUCAGCUAUUGCAAGCCCCACCAUAUGUCAUCAACUUUUCUGGUGACCUGAAAUAUACGGUUGAAGAAUUUGACAUUUCCAAAAGAGGGGUACAAAGUAUAGAAGAACUUAAGGUGCAGCUUGCCCAUAGGCGGGUUUGGAUGGUUUCUUCCAUACAUAGGGGUGAAGAAGAAGUUAUGCUAGGAGUUCACAAAGUUCUAAUGCGAAUGCACCCUGAUAUGGUCACCAUUAUUGUGCCUCGAUAUCCACAGCAUGGACGUGAGAUUGCUAUAGAACUGCAGAAAGAAGGGCUGAGUGUAGCUCUGAGGUCACGUGAUGAGAAACUUGUGUCAGGGACAAGUAUAUAUGUGGUGGACACAUUAGGUGAACUGAGACACUUUUAUACACUAACUCCCAUAGCAGUAAUUGGAGGUUCUUUCUUGCCUGGUUUAACUGGCCAUAACAUUUCGGAAGCUGCUGCAGCUGGCUGUGCUGUUCUGACUGGUCAUCAUGUUGGGCAUUUUUCGGAUAUGGUACUGAAAAUGCAACGAUCGAAUCCUUUGUCAGUUCUGCAGGUUUCUGCAGAGGAACUUGAGGAAGCUCUCAGUCAGCUUUUCAGCAAUAGUGAAAUUCUGGAAGCACGUUGUCUGGCUGCAAAACAAGCAUUUCAAACUCUGUCAAGCGGGAUUGUUGCAAAUGUUUGGAAUCAACUAAAUUUCAAUGUUCUCAGACAGGCUUUGUGUUAAUGAAGGCUGGUGAACAAUAAAAUUGAAAGUGACAGUUGAGUUUGUCUGCCUGCUUCUUCUGCAUCAAGGUGGACAAUAUUUUAGCUUGGUUCAGGUUAAAUAUCAAUGGAAGUAAAAAAAAAAUGCUAAGAACCAUUCUUAAUGGGCAAGUGAUGAUAGGAUCAUUCUAAUGAAGAAGUAUUUGAGUUUCCUAAUUUGAAGCGUCUGCAUUCAUGGUAUCACUUUAUCUAAUGCCUAAGCUCUCAUCAUGUGUCUUACAAAGUUGGGUUUAUGCAUAGAUAUUGAGCUUUGUGGAGCUCCCUACCCGCUGAUAACAGUAGUUCCAGUAACAAAAUUGGAAAAUUCUACUGUCCUUUAGGUACUUUAUACCCUAAGAAUUUCACCUAUUGAAAGUUUGAAAGUCAAUUUUAAUUCAAUUUCAAUGAUCCAAGUUGAUGAAAAUUCUACUGUCCCUCUGUCGGUAUAAUACACUUAUGAAUUUAACUUAUUGUAUGUUUUAAAGUCAAUUUAAUUUGAUUUCAAUGAGUUGAUGUUUA
Vitis vinifera (wine grape) is the source of this 1982-nucleotide RNA transcript. It is a transcript of the gene named probable 3-deoxy-D-manno-octulosonic acid transferase, mitochondrial, with no coding region annotated. NCBI's taxonomy places the organism in Eukaryota, Viridiplantae, Streptophyta, Magnoliopsida, Vitales, Vitaceae. The transcript is spliced from 13 exons. The record is from RefSeq and is a predicted model, not a curated record.